AAACUUUACAAUGCCGGCAACGGCGAUAAGGGGACCUCGAGUGCCAGGAUACAAUCCUGGCUGUCGUAAUGCCUAAAAAGCAUUAUAUAGCAAGGGCCGGGCAAGACCGGUGCCAGCCGCCGCGGUAACACCGGCGGCUCGAGUGGUAACCGCUAUUAUUGGGUCUAAAGGGUCUGUAGCCGGCCUGGUAAGUCUUUUGGGAAAUCCGGCAGCUCAACUGUCGGGCUAUCAGAGGAUACUGCUAGGCUCGAGACCGGGAGAGGUGAGAGGUACUUCAUGGGUAGGGGUGAAAUCUUGUAAUCCUUGAAGGACCACCAGUGGCGAAGGCGUCUCACCAGAACGGAUCUGACGGCAAGGGACGAAAGCUAGGGGCACGAACCGGA
This 383-nucleotide ribosomal RNA is filed under the name uncultured archaeon. Its description in RNAcentral is "bacterial SSU rRNA". It matches the Rfam family "Archaeal small subunit ribosomal RNA", at positions 345 to 728 of the family's 1478-position model. The record is from RNAcentral.